RNAcentral lists this long non-coding RNA (242 nucleotides) under Gossypium barbadense (sea-island cotton). RNAcentral describes it as "long non-coding RNA (GBAR_LNC005596)". The record is from RNAcentral. Lineage: Eukaryota; Viridiplantae; Streptophyta; Magnoliopsida; Malvales; Malvaceae.
GGGACACACGGCCAUACCACACGCCCAUGGGGCUGAUGUGUCACACACGACCUAGACACAUGCACGUGUGUCUAUCCAUGUGGACCUUGUUGAGGCUAUAAAUCUAAGCUAAUGGUCACCCUCUAUAACCACUCAUAUUCGUGAACCUCAAUGAUGUUUAACAUGGCCUAAAUAUGUCCGAGUACUACCAUAUAUGGUUUAUUGCAUGGUAACCUCAUCUCAUCGGUUAUGCACAUGCUAAC